CAGCGCGCGGGAAUACAGAGGGUGCGAGCGUUAAUCGGAUUUACUGGGCGUAAAGCGUGCGUAGGCGGCUUCUUAAGUCGGAUGUGAAAUCCCUGAGCUUAACUUAGGAAUUGCAUUCGAUACUGGGAAGCUAGAGUAUGGGAGAGGAUGGUAGAAUUCCAGGUGUAGCGGUGAAAUGCGUAGAGAUCUGGAGGAAUACCGAUGGCGAAGGCAGCCAUCUGGCCUAAUACUGACGCUGAGGUACGAAAGCAUGGGGAGCAAACAGGAUUAGAUACCCCCGUAGUCCCUGUCUCUUAUACAC
Molecule: ribosomal RNA, 301 nt
Filed under: uncultured bacterium
Lineage: Bacteria
Description: partial 16S ribosomal RNA
Rfam family: Bacterial small subunit ribosomal RNA
Source: RNAcentral